UAAGACGUAGGGGGCAAGCGUUGUCCGGAUUUAUUGGGCGUAAAGGGCUCGUAGGCGGCUUAGCAAGUCAGGUGUGAAACCUCCAGGCUUAACCUGGAGACGCCAUUUGAGACUGCUAUGGCUAGAGUGCGGUAGGGGACCAUGGAAUCUCCGGUGUAGCGGUGAAAUGCGCAGAUAUCGGAGGGAACACCAGUGGCGAAGGCGGUGGUCUGGGCCGUAACUGACGCUGAGGAGCGAAAGCGUGGGUAGCAAACAGGAUUAGAUACCCUGGUAGUCCACGCCGUAAACGUUGGGCACUAGGUGUGGGGUCCUAUCGACGGACUCCGUGCCGUAGCUAACGCAUUAAGUGCCCCGCCUGGGGAGUACGGCCGCAAGGCUA
This 379-nucleotide ribosomal RNA is filed under the name uncultured bacterium. RNAcentral describes it as "bacterial SSU rRNA". It matches the Rfam family "Bacterial small subunit ribosomal RNA", at positions 521 to 896 of the family's 1533-position model. The record is from RNAcentral.